UGCACCUAUGGUAUUUGAUGGUUUGCCCGACUCAUCUUGGUUCUAAUUAUGGUGCUAUCCAUUUUGUCCUGAAAGUUUUAUUAUUCGGGACAAUAAUUUACCAAGUUGUUGUAUGCUUAUUCAUAAGAAUGAUUUGAUGCAGGAUACUAAAGCAUUUUAUAGUGGUGGUGAUCAAUCAUUAAAAAGUAGGAAGGAUGAUUAUACUGGUUAUGACAGUUUUUUAUUGCCUUAAUGUUUUAGAUUUACAGCCUGAAGACCAUAACUCUAGGGGAUAAAAGGAUUAGGAAUGAAACAAGUGUCCUUCAGGAGGAUGAGACGAGACAAUUUUUAAUAUGCUUCGCAUUGCUGCAAAGCUGAUGACUUGAAUAAGGCUUAUACCAUGAAUCAACCAGGUUGCUCAGACAUUAGUUCCAUUUUUGAAGGAUAGAAUAUAUUCUUUUAAUGUCAGUGCGACCAACAAAGAAGUCAGACAUUCAGUUUCGCCAUUAUCACUUGAAGAUGCAGACAUGCAGCAGAACCGUAAGUGAGUACUUACAAAGUCCAAGGAGCAAUACACAAUUGCAUCUGGUGAAAAAAUAACUAAAUAACUAAUUAGUGCAUCAAAUGAUUCUUAAGUAUUGAUGCGAAUGCGAUUGCAAGGCCUUUUUGAUGAUGUCAAGUCCUGGAAAUAUCCUUGCAUCAGCAUGAGUUGUGGGCGGUCUUGGAAAUGCCAGACUCUUUGUUCUUUGUUCUAUACUACAGUAUUGUUGCUCAUUAGGUUCUUAAGAAUCUUAUAAGUUAUGGUGUUCAUCCUAACUGGUGAAAUCUGAGUCGUGUACAAAUAGUAAUUUAUUGUACAAUUUUAGCAAGUGUA
This is a non-coding RNA of Nicotiana tabacum (common tobacco), 853 nucleotides long. NCBI's taxonomy places the organism in Eukaryota, Viridiplantae, Streptophyta, Magnoliopsida, Solanales, Solanaceae. The record is from RefSeq and is a predicted model, not a curated record.